Molecule: ribosomal RNA, 253 nt
Filed under: uncultured bacterium
Lineage: Bacteria
Description: partial 16S ribosomal RNA
Rfam family: Bacterial small subunit ribosomal RNA
Source: RNAcentral
UACGAAGGGGGCUAGCGUUGCUCGGAAUUACUGGGCGUAAAGCGCACGUAGGCGGCUUUCUAAGUCGGGGGUGAAAUCCUGGAGCUCAACUCCAGAACUGCCUUCGAUACUGGAAAGCUCGAGUCCGGGAGAGGUGAGUGGAACUGCGAGUGUAGAGGUGAAAUUCGUAGAUAUUCGCAAGAACACCAGUGGCGAAGGCGGCUCACUGGCCCGGUACUGACGCUGCGGUGCGAAAGCGUGGGGAGCAAACAGG